CCUAAGGGGGGCAGCAGUGGGGGAUAUUGCACAAUGGGGGAAACCCUGAUGCAGCGACGCCGCGUGGGUGAAGGAGCGUUUCGGCGCGUAAAGCCCUAUCGGCAGGGAAGAAGGAGGACGGUACCUGACUAAGAAGCCCCGGCUAACUACGUGCCAGCAGCCGCGGUAAUACGUAGGGGGCAAGCGUUAGCCGGAUUUACUGGGUGUAAAGGGGGCGCAGACGGCAGCGCAAGCCAGGAGUGAAAGCCCGGGGCCCAACCCCGGGACUGCGCUUGGAACUGCGCGGCUGGAGUGCAGGAGGGGCAGGCGGAAUUCCUGGUGUAGCGGUGAAAUGCGUAGAUAUCAGGAGGAACACCGGUGGCGAAGGCGGCCUGCUGGACUGCCACUGACAUUGAUGCUCGAAAGUGUGGGUAUCAAACAGGAUUAGAUACCCCAGUAGUC
Molecule: ribosomal RNA, 441 nt
Filed under: uncultured bacterium
Lineage: Bacteria
Description: partial 16S ribosomal RNA
Rfam family: Bacterial small subunit ribosomal RNA
Source: RNAcentral